Molecule: long non-coding RNA, 875 nt
Filed under: Numida meleagris (helmeted guineafowl)
Lineage: Eukaryota; Metazoa; Chordata; Aves; Galliformes; Numididae
Description: lncRNA (ENSNMEG00000000641.1)
Source: RNAcentral
AAACCCAUCAAUAUUCUGAAGCCUUACUGCUUUAUCUACUUUCAAAUUAAACCGAGUAAUGAUUUCUCUGUGAUAGUUCCGAUGAUAUAACUGCAAAAUAAUAUAUUUAUACGAAAAUAUAAGGUUUUGGUGAAAGGCUUCACUCCAGGAUUUGAAUAAUAAUGAAGUACCUCUCUUUGCAGGGCUCAGUCAUUAGCACAUUCCAUUCAGUUUAGAAGAAAGCAAUGCCCUCGUCUGGGCAUGCCCACGGAAUAUAAGUAUUUCCAAAGCUGGAGAAAACCAAUAGUUCUGGGGAAGGAAUUUUGAAACUACCUCUUAUUGGAAGCUAUCAGUAAAAAAUCCUUGAAGAAUAGGAGAAGAGAGGAUGGAGCUGAAGCCACAUUUAAUCUCACCCCCCUCCCCCCCCCCCAAAAAAAAAAAAAAAAAAGUUGGGGGCUUAAAAAGGAACAGGAGUUGGCAAAUUCAGACUUCUGUGAGGCAAGUUAAGGACACAGGAUUUGCAUAGAACGAGACUGACAAGGCCAUGAAGCAUCUAAUCAGCUUGUCAGCUGCAUCCUGCAGGGCUCUGUAAUCUGCAGUGAACCAUGCACUGAAUUUCUGCCUCUGCACUGUGCAGAGCAUGUGUUUACAUUGCUGGCAACCUUAUCACAUGCUGUUCCAAGCACAUGGGGUCUGUGGAGGCCUGCUGAGAAAAUCCUGAAGAAAGUCUGGUGCCCUUACAAUGGGAAGAACUCAUGCCAGCCACAGCAUCUGUGGGAGACAGAUGAGGUGCAUGCCCUCCCCACAUCCCUGCUUUGCUGGUGGCACUGGAAAUUACGUGGCUGGCCCCAUUUCAUAUCUGGGGAUGUUCAGAUGAGUUAGACCCACACGCGAGC